This 243-nucleotide unclassified non-coding RNA is filed under the name uncultured fungus. RNAcentral's name for it is "sequence contains ITS2". The record is from RNAcentral. Lineage: Eukaryota; Fungi.
AACGCACAUUGCGCCCCUUGGUAUUCCGGGGGGCAUGCCUGUUCGAGCGUCAUUAACAACCCUCAAGCGCAGCUUGGUAUUGGGCCUCGCCGUUCGUUCGGCGGGCCUUAAAAUCAGUGGCGGUGCCGUCGUGGCCCUGAGCGCAGUAAAUAUCCUCGCUAUAGGGACCUGGCGGACGCUGGCCAUCAACCCCCACUCUCUAAGUUUGACCUCGGAUCAGGUAGGGAUACCCGCUGAACUUAA